Molecule: ribosomal RNA, 478 nt
Filed under: uncultured bacterium
Lineage: Bacteria
Description: partial 16S ribosomal RNA
Rfam family: Bacterial small subunit ribosomal RNA
Source: RNAcentral
GACGAACGCUGGCGGCGCGCUUAACACAUGCAAGUCGAACGGGAUUUAGUAAACGGAAGCCUCGGUGGAAGAUUACUAAUGAGAGUGGCGAACGGGUGAGUAACGCGUGAGCAACCUGCCUAUGACAGUGGGAUAGCCUCGGGAAACCGGGAUUAAUACCGCAUAAAAUCGUAGAAACACAUGUUUCAACGGUCAAAGAUUUAUCGGUCAUAGAUGGGCUCGCGUCUGAUUAGCUAGUUGGUGAGAUAACAGCCCACCAAGGCGACGAUCAGUAGCCGGUCUGAGAGGAUGAACGGCCACAUUGGAACUGAGACACGGUCCAAACUCCUACGGGAGGCAGCAGUGGGGAAUAUUGCACAAUGGGGGAAACCCUGAUGCAGCGACGCCGCGUGAACGAAGAAGGUAUUCGUAUCGUAAAGUUCUGUCCUAUGGGAAGAUAAUGACAGUACCAUAGAAGAAAGCUCCGGCUAAAUACGUG